UCGUAAAACUCUGUUGUUGGAGAAGAAUGUAUCUGAUAGUAACUGAUCAGGUAGUGACGGUAUCCAACCAGAAAGCCACGGCUAACUACGUGCCAGCAGCCGCGGUAAUACGUAGGUGGCAAGCGUUGUCCGGAUUUAUUGGGCGUAAAGCGAGCGCAGGCGGUUUCUUAAGUCUGAUGUGAAAGCCUUCGGCUCAACCGAAGAAGUGCAUCGGAAACUGGGAAACUUGAGUGCAGAAGAGGACAGUGGAACUCCAUGUGUAGCGGUGAAAUGCGUAGAUAUAUGGAAGAACACCAGUGGCGAAGGCGGCUGUCUGGUCUGUAACUGACGCUGAGGCUCGAAAGCAUGGGUAGCAAACAGGAUUAGAUACCCUGGUAGUCCAUGCCGUAAACGAUGAGUGCUAGGUGUUGGAGGGUUUCCGCCCUUCAGUGCCGCAGCUAACGCAUUAAGCACUCCGCCUGGGGAGUACGACCGCAAGGUUGAAACUCAAAGGAAUUGACGGGGGCCCGCACAAGCGGUGGAGCAUGUGGUUUAAUUCGAAGCAACGCGAAGAACCUUACCAGGUCUUGACAUCCUUUGACCACUCUAGAGAUAGAGCUUUCCCUUCGGGGACAAAGUGACAGGUGGUGCAUGGUUGUCGUCAGCUCGUGUCGUGAGAUGUUGGGUUAAGUCCCGCAACGAGCGCAACCCUUAUUACUAGUUGCCAGCAUUUAGUUGGGCACUCUAGUGAGACUGCCGGUGACAAACCGGAGGAAGGUGGGGACGACGUCAAAUCAUCAUGCCCCUUAUGACCUGGGCUAC
Molecule: ribosomal RNA, 801 nt
Filed under: Latilactobacillus sakei
Lineage: Bacteria; Bacillati; Bacillota; Bacilli; Lactobacillales; Lactobacillaceae
Also listed under: 1 other name
Description: bacterial SSU rRNA
Rfam family: Bacterial small subunit ribosomal RNA
Source: RNAcentral